This 497-nucleotide ribosomal RNA is filed under the name uncultured bacterium. RNAcentral describes it as "partial 16S ribosomal RNA". It matches the Rfam family "Bacterial small subunit ribosomal RNA", at positions 28 to 507 of the family's 1533-position model. The record is from RNAcentral.
GAUGAACGCUGGCGGCGUGCCUAAUACAUGCAAGUCGAGCGAACAGACGAGGAGCUUGCUCCUCUGACGUUAGCGGCGGACGGGUGAGUAACACGUGGAUAACCUACCUAUAAGACUGGGAUAACUUCGGGAAACCGGAGCUAAUACCGGAUAAUAUAUUGAACCGCAUGGUUCAAUAGUGAAAGACGGUUUUGCUGUCACUUAUAGAUGGAUCCGCGCCGCAUUAGCUAGUUGGUAAGGUAACGGCUUACCAAGGCAACGAUGCGUAGCCGACCUGAGAGCGUGGGGAGCCACACUGGAGCUGUGACACGGUCGAGACUCCUGCGGGAGGCCGCAGCACGGCAUCUUGCACGAUGGGCGAGGGCCUUACGGAGCAAAUGCGCGUGAAGGAUGAAGGUCUUCGGAUCGUAUACCUCUGUUAUUAGGGAAGAACAAAUGUGCAAGGAACUAUGCUGGUCUUGACGGUACCGAAUCAGAAAGCCACGGCUAACUACGUG